AGGACGAACGCUGGCGGCGUGCUUCAUACAUGCAAGUCGAGCGUGAACCCAGGGCUUGCCCUGGGGGAAAGCGGCGAACGGGUGAGUAACACGUGGGCAACCAACCCCAGCCUCUGGGAUAACCUCGGGAAACCGGGGCUAAUACCGGAUACUCUCGAAGGGUCGCAUGGCCCAACGAGGAAAGCUCCGGCGGACUGGGACGGGCCCGCGGCCUAUCAGCUUGUUGGCGGGGUAAAGGCCCACCAAGGCGACGACGGGUAGCUGGCGUGAGAGCGUGACCAGCCACACUGGGACUGAGACACGGCCCAGACUCCUACGGGAGGCAGCAGUAGGGAAUCUUGCGCAAUGGGCGAAAGCCUGACGCAGCGACGCCGCGUGGGGGAUGAAGGCUCUUGGGUCGUAAACCCUUUCGGCAGGGAAGAAGCGAAAGUGACGGUACCUGCAGAAGAAGCCCGGCCAACUACGUGCCAGCAGCCGC
RNAcentral lists this ribosomal RNA (478 nucleotides) under uncultured bacterium. Its description in RNAcentral is "SSU rRNA". It matches the Rfam family "Bacterial small subunit ribosomal RNA", at positions 26 to 518 of the family's 1533-position model. The record is from RNAcentral.